This 78-nucleotide transfer RNA is filed under the name Desulforhabdus amnigena. RNAcentral's name for it is "tRNA-Pro". It matches the Rfam family "tRNA". From Rfam's summary of the family: Transfer RNA (tRNA) molecules are approximately 80 nucleotides in length. Their secondary structure includes four short double-helical elements and three loops (D, anti-codon, and T loops). Further hydrogen bonds mediate the characteristic L-shaped molecular structure. tRNAs have two regions of fundamental functional importance: the anti-codon, which is responsible for specific mRNA codon recognition, and the 3' end, to which the tRNAs corresponding amino acid is attached (by aminoacyl-tRNA synthetases). tRNAs cope with the degeneracy of the genetic code in two manners: having more than one tRNA (with a specific anti-codon) for a particular amino acid; and 'wobble' base-pairing, i.e. permitting non-standard base-pairing at the 3rd anti-codon position. The record is from RNAcentral. RNAcentral also lists the same sequence under 2 other names. Lineage: Bacteria; Pseudomonadati; Thermodesulfobacteriota; Syntrophobacteria; Syntrophobacterales; Syntrophobacteraceae.
CGGGACGUGGCGCAGACUGGUUAGCGCGCUUGCUUGGGGUGCAAGAGGGCGGAGGUUCAAAUCCUCUCGUCCCGACCA